AUUGAACGCUGGCGGCAUGCCUUACACAUGCAAGUCGAACGGCAGCGGGCCUUCGGGUGCCGGCGAGUGGCGAACGGGUGAGUAAUGCAUCGGAACGUGCCAUUGAGUGGGGGAUAACGUAGCGAAAGUUGCGCUAAUACCGCAUAUUCUGUGAGCAGGAAAGCAGGGGACCGCAAGGCCUUGCGCUCUUUGAGCGGCCGAUGUCAGAUUAGCUAGUUGGUGAGGUAAAGGCUUACCAAGGCGACGAUCUGUAGCGGGUCUGAGAGGAUGAUCCGCCACACUGGAACUGAGACACGGUCCAGACUCCUACGGGAGGCAGCAGUGGGGAAUUUUGGACAAUGGGGGCAACCCUGAUCCAGCCAUGCCGCGUGAGUGAAGAAGGCCUACGGUGUAAGCGUCUUCGGUCCGGGAACGGAAA
RNAcentral lists this ribosomal RNA (418 nucleotides) under uncultured bacterium. Its description in RNAcentral is "bacterial SSU rRNA". It matches the Rfam family "Bacterial small subunit ribosomal RNA", at positions 30 to 452 of the family's 1533-position model. The record is from RNAcentral.